This 478-nucleotide ribosomal RNA is filed under the name uncultured bacterium. RNAcentral describes it as "bacterial SSU rRNA". It matches the Rfam family "Bacterial small subunit ribosomal RNA", at positions 364 to 832 of the family's 1533-position model. The record is from RNAcentral.
UUUCGCAAUGCCCGAAAGGGUGACGAAGCGACGCCGCGUGCGGGAAGAAGGCCUUCGGGUUGUAAACCGCUGUCGGGAGUUAAGAAAUGCAAGGGUGUUAACAGCAUCCUUGCUUGACUAAGGCUCCGGAGGAAGCCACGGCUAACUCUGUGCCAGCAGCCGCGGUAAUACAGAGGCGGCAAGCGUUGUUCGGAAUUAUUGGGCGUAAAGAGCACGUAGGCGGCUGUGUAAGUCGGUUGUGAAAGCCUUCCGCUCAACGGGAGAACGGCAUCUAAUACUGCAUAGCUUGAGUGCGGGAGGGGAGAGUGGAACUUCUGGUGGAGCGGUGAAAUGCGUAGAUAUCAGAAGGAACACCGGCGGCGAAGGCGACUCUCUGGCCCGUAACUGACGCUGAGUGUGCGAAAGCUAGGGGAGCAAACGGGAUUAGAUACCCCGGUAGUCCUAGCCGUAAACGAUGGGCACUAAGUAGAGGGGUUUU